GGCUUUUUCAGCAGAGAUCACCGGUGCGUAGGAAGAAAGCAUGAAGUGGAUACGUGGGUAGGGGACCAGAUUGGUCUGAAACUCUGUCACAUCAACAUUCAGCGCACCGUCGAACCUCAGAGAGGCUGUCAAAGACGAUAUCACCUGUGAGAUGAGACGGUUGAGAUUGGUGUAAGUGGGGCGCUCGAUAUCGAGGGAGCGGCGACAGAUGUCGUAGAUGGCCUCGUUAUCGAGGAGG
RNAcentral lists this unclassified non-coding RNA (238 nucleotides) under Hevea brasiliensis (rubber tree). Lineage: Eukaryota; Viridiplantae; Streptophyta; Magnoliopsida; Malpighiales; Euphorbiaceae. The record is from RNAcentral.